GCUUACGGCCACACCGGCCCUGAGUACGCCUGAUCUCGUCCGAUCUCGGAAGCUAAGCAGGGUCGGGCCUGGUUAGUACUUGGAUGGGAGACCGCCUGGGAAUACCAGGUGCUGUAAGCU
Molecule: ribosomal RNA, 120 nt
Organism: Oncorhynchus mykiss (rainbow trout)
Lineage: Eukaryota; Metazoa; Chordata; Actinopteri; Salmoniformes; Salmonidae
Source: Ensembl